Molecule: ribosomal RNA, 497 nt
Filed under: uncultured bacterium
Lineage: Bacteria
Description: partial 16S ribosomal RNA
Rfam family: Bacterial small subunit ribosomal RNA
Source: RNAcentral
GAUGAACGCUGGCGGCGUGCCUAAUACAUGCAAGUCGAGCGAACGGACGAGAAGCUUGCUUCUCUGAUGUUAGCGGCGGACGGGUGAGUAACACGUGGAUAACCUACCUAUAAGACUGGGAUAACUUCGGGAAACCGGAGCUAAUACCGGAUAAUAUUUUGAACCGCAUGGUUCAAAAGUGAAAGACGGUCUUGCUGUCACUUAUAGAUGGAUCCGCGCUGCAUUAGCUAGUUGGUAAGGUAACGGCUUACCAAGGCAACGAUGCAUAGCCGACCUGAGAGGGUGAUCGGCCACACUGGAACUGAGACACGGUCCAGACUCCUACGGGAGGCAGCAGUAGGGAAUCUUCCGCAAUGGGCGAAAGCCUGACGGAACAACGCCGCGUGAGUGAUGAAGGUCUUCGGAUCGUAAAACUCUGUUAUUAGGGAAGAACAUAUGUGUAAGUAACUGUGCACAUCUUGACGGUACCUAAUCAGAAAGCCACGGCUAACUACGUG